Portunus trituberculatus (swimming crab) is the source of this 1008-nucleotide long non-coding RNA. RefSeq lists it as uncharacterized. Lineage: Eukaryota; Metazoa; Arthropoda; Malacostraca; Decapoda; Portunidae. The record is from RefSeq and is a predicted model, not a curated record. The transcript has 2 exons.
UUUUGACACAUACAAGAUUUUUUAACAGUGACAAAUGAAAUACAGAUUGUCCUCACAUAAUGACAAGGUUAGGUUCAUAUGAAAUUCUGUUGGUUAGCAAAAUCAUCAUUAAGUGAUAGUAUUAGUUUAGACCAAGAAUGAAAACCUAUGUUCUCUCAAGGACCACUUUUUCUGACACUGGCUGUGUGCCAUAUGGGAAAAAAAAAAAAAAAAAUAGUAUUUUUUCACAUUUUAACUUGCCUUCUAAUAUGACUAUUACUAAUUCACAGUGUAUAUUCAAGAUUAUGAUGGUGCCGCAUUCUGAGUUCAUUAAUAACUAACUUGAUAUAAGUUACAUAUAGCCCAGUACAUAACAUGAAUAUAUAAUAUAUCAUUCAUUCAUGACUCAUGGUUUUAUGAAGUAGCAUUUCUGAACAGCAUUAUGGGCCUGAUCAAAUAGCGCUGCAGUUCCUGUGCGGCCUGGAGGCCAGAGGUUUCCCAUCCCUGGUUUAGGCCCAUGUCUGAUAAUUUUAGAUAUUAUUUUUGUCUGGUCAUUUGUGAAAUAUUUUGUACAUUAAAUACUAUGGUUUCUCAGAGAAAAGAAAGGUAAGUAUUUUAUUUAUUCUAGAAAUAAGCAAAGGAUUUGAAAAUUUCAUAUUCUUGUUUGAAUGUGUAAAAAUCUUGCAGUAUACAGGUAUUUCCUGAUAUAUGAUUGGGUUAUAUUCCUGAAAAUGCAAUCAAUAGAGUGAAUGAUUGUUUAAGCAAACUGAGAUUGAAUCUAAAAAAUAUAAAUGCAUUCCAAGACCCUUUAAAACUCAUAAAAAACACAAAAUAGCAUAUUUAGGUACAGUUAUUGCCUAAAGUAAUGAGAUACAUGUUAUGUGAAUAGAAUAAACACAAGAAUAAAGCUGUAGAAUAAAAUGAAAAAAGUAUUUUUGCAGUUUAGAAUGUUUAAAUAGGCUUUGGCUAAGACAGUGUUUCUUAAACUUUUUUGUGCAGCGGACCCCUUUUAUUAAAAUUACUCAUGUA